UUUCCCGCCUCUGUGCGGAAGGGAGAGCCUUUCCGUGACUGUCGAACUUCGGGAACACUGUCAUGGAGUUGCUCUCUUUUCCGCG
RNAcentral lists this microRNA precursor (85 nucleotides) under Branchiostoma belcheri (Belcher's lancelet). RNAcentral's name for it is "microRNA bbe-mir-281 precursor". Its record names the gene bbe-mir-281. The stretch from base 20 to 79 matches the Rfam family "mir-46/mir-47/mir-281 microRNA precursor family", at positions 14 to 73 of the family's 85-position model. Rfam says of the family: The hairpin precursors (represented here) are predicted based on base pairing and cross-species conservation -- their extents are not known. In this case the mature sequences are expressed from the 3' arms of the hairpin precursors. Lineage: Eukaryota; Metazoa; Chordata; Leptocardii; Amphioxiformes; Branchiostomatidae. The record is from miRBase by way of RNAcentral.